AUGUUAGCAACCGCAAUCAACUUUGAGAAAGUGUUUGCGAGGUAUGAGGAAGAAGAUCCACUCUAUACAUUAGAUUUAACUAGUGAGAAAGCUCCUGGUAUUCAUGUUGAUAGUGAUUGGGAGAAUGCUACGAAAAUGGCUGAAUUUCUUGGACAGUUUUAUCACCUUACUCUUAGUGUUUCCGCCACACUCCAUGUCACCAUGAAUCAAUUUGUUAUGGAUAUUGCUGAAAUCAAUGUUGUGUUGGAAGAGUGGGCUGAUAGUGAUGAUAUUUUGCGCAAAACUAUGGCCAAGAAAAUGCAAGAUAAAUAUGAUAAGUAUUGGGGACGUUGGAAUGAGGAGGUGGAGAAUGAAAGGGGGAAGGGGAAAGGAAAGAAAAAGGAAGAGGAGAAUGUGAACAUGUUUGUAUUUGUUGCAACUGUUCUUGAUCCAAGAUUCAAGCUUUCAAAUUUCACAAAACUAGCAAUUGAAGAAAUGUAUGGUGAGUUAAAUGGAGGAAAAGCUUGGGAGGCAAUGAAAACAUUUAUGCAUGCUUUGUUUUAA
This 543-nucleotide ribosomal RNA is filed under the name Triticum aestivum (bread wheat). RNAcentral's name for it is "partial small subunit ribosomal RNA". Lineage: Eukaryota; Viridiplantae; Streptophyta; Magnoliopsida; Poales; Poaceae. The record is from RNAcentral.